RNAcentral lists this long non-coding RNA (885 nucleotides) under Lytechinus variegatus (green sea urchin). RNAcentral describes it as "uncharacterized LOC121418436, transcript variant X1". The record is from RNAcentral. Lineage: Eukaryota; Metazoa; Echinodermata; Echinoidea; Temnopleuroida; Toxopneustidae.
UGAAGACGGCUUCUUACUUCUUAGGGCAGGCGUAGCCGUAGCGGGAAUUUCGAAUUGAAGAUAUAUCUUUUCUGUUCUGUAGAAAUUUGGGCUAGAUUUGAAGAUGAAAAACGCAUCAAUAGACAAGAACGGCAUUAAUGUUGUGUAUUUCAAGUUUUUACUCCUCUACCAUCACGACUUGGAGCGGAUGGACAUGUGACUCAGCCAGGCUCAGCAGCAGGCAGGCAGGUCUGACUUGGCCAAGCCUGGCCCGUUGGAUCCCCGUGCAAUUUCUGGAGCGAUUGCCUCAGUAGGCUAGUGCUAGCUAGUGAUCCGGCCGCCAAUCCCUGUCCCUGAGCAGCUGACCAUCAUCUUCUUAGCCUUUGCUGACCGACCACCAUCAUGUAGUAGGGGAUUGCCUCUGAGUUUGGAUUGAAUUGAGAGAACAUCACUUAAUCAGUGCAAUUGAUGGCAGGAAGAGAUCACUGUGAUGUCAUCAACCAUGACCAUGUUUAUCUACUCAGCCCAGGAACAACAACAAGGAAGUUUGAAAAAAGUUGCACCUGUUCAGAAUUUGCAUCAUAAGGAUGUACCGUGGCGGUGCUCCAUGCAAUGACAUGAUCAAAAUGGCUGAAACAACAAAUGGCACGAGUACAUACAUUUGCAGAUUAAACUCCAGAUACCAGAUCGAGUGAUGACAACAUGCACAAGGCCCUUUUUAGGUACAGGCACGCUGAUUGGCGGUUGCUUCCCCGGCUAACCCAUGCAAACCGCAGAUUAAAUGUUUCCAUUGUGGAUGAAAAAGGUAAACAAAUUCUCAUGCCACACAAUUUGCAUAUUGCAGGACAGUCUUUUACGACGGGCCCAAAAGUCUCUUCCAAAAUCAGUUACCGUCGUAAAGGUAGG